Molecule: ribosomal RNA, 494 nt
Filed under: uncultured bacterium
Lineage: Bacteria
Description: partial 16S ribosomal RNA
Rfam family: Bacterial small subunit ribosomal RNA
Source: RNAcentral
GACGAACGCUGGCGGCGUGCCUAAUACAUGCAAGUAGAACGCUGAAGGAGGAGCUUGCUUCUCCGGAUGAGUUGCGAACGGGUGAGUAACGCGUAGGUAACCUGCCUGGUAGCGGGGGAUAACUAUUGGAAACGAUAGCUAAUACCGCAUAAGAGUAGAUGUUGCAUGACAUUUGCUUAAAAGGUGCAAUUGCAUCACUACCAGAUGGACCUGCGUUGUAUUAGCUAGUUGGUGGGGUAACGGCUUACCAAGGCGACGAUACAUAGCCGACCUGAGAGGGUGAUCGGCCACACUGGGACUGAGACACGGCCCAGACUCCUACGGGAGGCAGCAGUAGGGAAUCUUCGGCAAUGGACGGAAGUCUGACCGAGCAACGCCGCGUGAGUGAAGAAGGUUUUCGGAUCGUAAAGCUCUGUUGUAAGAGAAGAACGAGUGUGAGAGUGGAAAGUUCACACUGUGACGGUAUCUUACCAGAAAGGGACGGCUAACUACGU